CGCCUUCACCAUCCAAGCGAGCAGACUCCGACGAACCACCACAGCAUCCAUUCCCUCUCCCUCUCCGACUUCCUCUACCUCUCAGGCUUCCCAUCUCCCUAUCUCGCGAACCCUCGCCCGUUACUCUCCUCGUCUUUCAGCGGCGCUUCCGUGCUGCUGUCCGGGCCGUGCCCCGUCACCAAUCCUUGCCGUCGACCUUGCCCCCAAGGACUAUCCGCGCCCAACUCGCUUAUCGCCUGCGAUGCUGUCUGCAGUCUCCUCCCCUCGCCUCGUCAUCUCCAUGUUGCUGACCACGCGUGCCCCGACGCCGACCUCACCACCAACACCAAGGAUGCCGUUAACCUUGCUCCCAAGGACGGCCCCGUGCCGAGCUCACUCCCAAGUUGCAAAACGGUGUUGCUGAUUAGUCUGAACCCGAGGAGAGUACUACUGUACUAGCAAAAUGAUUUGAGGAACAUUUACAGGGAAAGGUGAUUAUGACGCUUUGUAAUCUCUUCACAGCCUACAUUUUGAUAUGUUACCUUUGAUAGUUUGAUGUAGAGUGAUUCAUUGGAUAGAUUAUGAGCAUCUGUGUAACUAAUUUUGCUAUAGAAUCUUCAGUAAUUAUGCCAUCUUCAUGUUUUCUCUUUUGCAUCUGCAGACCUACUCAACACUUGUGCUGUUACAACUAGUUUUCCAAAGUCUAGUGCGUGAGUAUUACAAGAAUAUGUGUGUGUGGGAUUUACACAACCUUUAUAUGUCUUUUGAACUUACAAAAGAAGAUUAGCAUUAUCAUUUAACUUUUUAAAGUAAACUGAAGUUUAGUGCGUGAGUAAUACUAGAAUAUUUGUACUACUAUAUUUCGUUGCUAUAAGUUAUAAUAAUAUUGACUCCA
This is a long non-coding RNA of Panicum hallii, 874 nucleotides long. RefSeq lists it as uncharacterized. The record is from RefSeq and is a predicted model, not a curated record. Lineage: Eukaryota; Viridiplantae; Streptophyta; Magnoliopsida; Poales; Poaceae. The transcript has 2 exons.